UCCACGGAAACCCACCACUACAGUGACUAAUCAAUAUCCCACCAAAUCAAUAAAAGUUUCGACAGCAUGACAUGGCAAUUAUAUUACCACCCAACCUGUUAAGGCAAAACAAACAGUUCAUGCAAUUUCAACACAAUUUCCAAUUCAGCCAUUCAUGCCAAUAUCACCAUAAGCCAUUCAAUUCAAACCAUAAAUUUACAACACAAUCAAACAGUCUCCAAUUACUCAAUUUCUAAAAUCAUCAUUCAAAUUCAAAAUGUUUUAUAAAACUCAUUUCAUUUAAUCACAUUUUACUUAUAAAACAUAAGGAUUUACCAUUUAAACUCAUUUUUCUAUAAAAUCACAAAAACGAAUAAAAACUACUUUAGAUAAUUAAGACGAUAAUAAGGUUACUCACAAUAUCGGGAGUCGAAGUACUCCUAGUCCCGGUCUUCGGGUACAAUCUCCUUACCCUUAUCGAAAGUUUCACCACCUAAACAUAAUGCACAACAAGCAAUUUACUAUAUUUGUACUAAACCGUUAUAAAACUAAUUUAGGCUCUAUAUGAAUGCAUGAAAUGGGAUGCGAAAUGUUCGGAUUAUUAUCUAAAUAUGGUGUUCUACGUAGCUUCAAUUAUGUAUCGAAAUAAAAUGGUAUUGGCCUAAUUCGAUCUAUACACCGGUUAAUUGGCCAAUACAUCCAAUUCAACUUCAAUUAACUUGAUUCCACUUCCAACACUCCAAGUCAUCAAUUACAAGUUAAAUAAUAUGUAAUAUCACAAAAAUCCAUCAUCAAUAUCUUCCUUGUAAAAUUCGGCCAUUGAAGGUUUAGUGUAGAACAUGUAAUUUUCAUGCUUGAUUUUUACGCCUUACAUCAUAAAACAACUAAAAACACCUAAAUAGCAUGAAAUUCAUCAAAGUCCAUUAUCCAAUUUCUCUCUUGAAAAUUUCAGCCAAGGAGUGUGGGUGAAGGGCAUGAAAUUUCUUGCUUGUUUUUCAUGCUAAACAUCACCAAACAACUAAAAACACUAAGAUACCUUGAAAUCUAACCAAAUAAAUCAUCAAAUCUUCUCUCCCUAAAUUCGGUCAGCCAUGAAUCCUUCAUGAGAUCUUGAAUUUUAACCAUGGUAAUUGAAAAAGAAUGCAUAGGAAAGGUAGAUCACAAGCUAGAAUUAAGAAAUUUUACCUUUACUUGCUUAAUUCCUUGAAAUCCAAUGAAUUUUCUCUUGAUUUUCUUCUCUAGGGUUUGUUCUAUGCUUUUUCCCUUUUGUUCUUGCCUUGGCCGGCC
Molecule: long non-coding RNA, 1266 nt
Filed under: Theobroma cacao (cacao)
Lineage: Eukaryota; Viridiplantae; Streptophyta; Magnoliopsida; Malvales; Malvaceae
Description: long non-coding RNA (TCAC_LNC003110)
Source: RNAcentral